Molecule: non-coding RNA, 73 nt
Organism: Potamilus streckersoni
Lineage: Eukaryota; Metazoa; Mollusca; Bivalvia; Unionida; Unionidae
Source: the annotation of a GenBank genome assembly
GCCUUGGUGUCCUAGUGGUUACAGAGUUCGCCUCUGAUACAAAAUGUCGCGGGUUCGAACCCCGGAUGAGUCA